GAUGAACGCUGGCGGCGUGCCUAAUACAUGCAAGUCGAGCGAACAGACGAGGAGCUUGCUCCUCUGACGUUAGCGGCGGACGGGUGAGUAACACGUGUAUAACCUACCUAUAAGACUGGGAUACCUUCGGGAAACCGGAGCUAAUACCGGAUAAUAUAUUGAACCGCAUGGUUCACUAGUUAAAGACGGUUUUGCUGUCACUUAUAGAUUGAUCCGCGUCGCAUUAGCUAGUUGGUAAGGUAACGGCUUACCAAGGCGACGAUGCGUAGCCGACCUGAGAGGGUGAUCGGCUACACUGGAACUGAGACACGUCCCAGACUCCGACGGUAGGCAGCAGUAGGGAAUCUUCCGCAAUGGGCGAAAGCGUGACGGAGCAACGCCGCGUGAGUGAUGAAGGUCUUCGGAUCGUAAAACUCUGUUAUUAGGGAAGAACAAAUGUGUAAGUAACUAUGAACGUCUUGACGGUACCUAAUCAGAAAGCCACGGCUAACUACGUG
Molecule: ribosomal RNA, 497 nt
Filed under: uncultured bacterium
Lineage: Bacteria
Description: partial 16S ribosomal RNA
Rfam family: Bacterial small subunit ribosomal RNA
Source: RNAcentral